GAUGAACGCUGGCGGCGUGCCUAAUACAUGCAAGUCGAGCGCACAGACGAGGAGCUUGCUCCUCUGACGUUAGCGGCGGACGGGUGAGUAACACGUGGAUAACCUACCUAUAAGCCUGGGAUAACUUCGGGAAACCGGAGCUAAUACCGGAUAAUAUAUUGAACCGCAUGGUUCAAUAGUGAAAGACGGUUUUGCUGUCCCCUAUAGUUGUCUCCGGGCCGAUUUAGUAAGUUGGUAAGUUAACGCCUUACCAAGCCAAGGUAGAGAGCCCGACCUGGGAGGGUAAUCGGCCACACUGGAACUGGGACACGGUCCAAACUCCUACGGGAGGCAGCAGUAGGGAAUCUUCCGAAAUGGGCGAAAGCCGGCCGGAGCAACGCCGCGUGGGGGAUGAGGGUCUUCGGAUCGUAAAACUCUGUUAUUAGGGAGGAACAAAUGUGUAAGUAACUAUGCACGUCUUGACGGUACCUAAUCAGAAAGCCACGGCUAACUACGUG
RNAcentral lists this ribosomal RNA (497 nucleotides) under uncultured bacterium. RNAcentral describes it as "partial 16S ribosomal RNA". It matches the Rfam family "Bacterial small subunit ribosomal RNA", at positions 28 to 507 of the family's 1533-position model. The record is from RNAcentral.